AUGUCCUCAAGCGAUAUCCACACCCCUCUCAUAGCAACAGCACGCCCCCCCCCCCACACACACACACCCCCCGCGCCUUGCAGUGGAUUUUCCUUCCCCUGGAUCUUCGCCUCGCACCAUGCAGACGGUCCCUUGGCCCUGCCUGACGGUUCAGUGUUCCCCCCUCCCCCACCAGCCGCGCUCCUGUUCCACUCAAAGAUGGCGUCGGCUCCGGAGCCUCUGGUCUCUGGCUGCCUUCUUAGGCUUGUUGUUGUCUCCGUCCCGCACGGUUCCGGCACCUUCCCCUCGGCGGCUCGACGCGGAAUCCCGGAUUUGUCAGCUACCGGAGCGCAAUAGGCAUGAAGGUGAUCGGCCCUGGCUGCUCUCUGGGGUGAGACAUCGCUUCCGUCCCACAGCUGAGGAGCCCAGGCUGCUGGUAGAGUAGAAGACGUCACGUGAGAACGAGGGACGAGGAGGGAACGCGGAUGCAGAGAAAAUCCUCAACUUGUGGAACCGUCAUGUCCAACAGAAACACCAAUUUCACUUCUUGGAGACCAGUGUCAUCUUUUUACCGUGCACAUUGAGAAUUGACUAGUCUGCAAGCAACACAAAACUGGCUGAACACGCGCUAUAAUCCUUGUAUAGGUAGGUAGGAAGGUUUUUACGACCGGCAAAGUGGGAAGCACCAGAUCCAUCCGACACUGUGUGCUGUGGGAGUGUAAUUGGUUAAUAGACCUUUUACUUCCUCCACACCCCCUGCUUCUCGCCAGGGAGCGUCACCUGGCUGGGAGUGGGUGGUGGGGGGACCUGAUUUUACCGAGUGGAGGCCGGGCUCAGGGAGUUUGUGCUAUGGUUAGCUGCUCUUCUCCGUGCUGCUCACACUCAGCUUCUGAGGGACUCUCUGUACGACCCCAGGACAAGGGAUAGUAAGCAGGCAGAGGGCAACGAAGAGGAGGAGGCGGCGCUGCGGCGCAUGCCAGGUAUUUCCUUGGCUUCCAGUCCCUAUUUUUUUGUGUGCAGUCAACGCGGUAAGGCCCCAGGGCCCCUG
RNAcentral lists this long non-coding RNA (1027 nucleotides) under Scophthalmus maximus (turbot). Its description in RNAcentral is "lncRNA (ENSSMAG00000037997.1)". Lineage: Eukaryota; Metazoa; Chordata; Actinopteri; Pleuronectiformes; Scophthalmidae. The record is from RNAcentral.